AAUCAAUUUUUAAAAAAAAAAAAACCAUUUUGCCAAAGUUUUAAAAAAAAAUUUCCAAAGCCCUUUUUUUUUCUCUCUAGUCUCCUCAUGUUCGGCACCGAGGUCCAGUGAGUCCUUGCAGCGACCGCCGGUCGCCGACGACAGACUCCGUUGUUCUUGGUGGACGAAAAAUUCCAAAAGUUUCAUCGUUUUGUCCUUUUUUCUGUUUAAAACUCCGAUUUGGAGUCAAAAACACUAAACUAAAGCCUAAACCCCAAGAAAAAAGGAAAACCUUUUUGUUUCCAGCGCUCUCUUCGCAGCGGCCUUAGCCAAAUCCUUAGGGACCCAAAGGCCUUUUGGACUGGAAGGGGUAACGACGGUGGUACAAAAACCAAUCGGCAGCAAAGUCAAUGGAGAAGAGAGAGGUCUGCGCUUGCCAUUUUGGUGCAACAGCAGCAAGGGCACGUCAGGCCUCGGGCUACGAGCACACUGACGAGGCAGGAAGAGCGACACCAAGGGAAAUUUAGGGUUUUAGUGUUUUUGAAUUAGUUUAGGUUAUGGCUUUAGAAUUUGGGUUAGGGUGUUCUGUUUUGGGCUAUUUGUUCCCUUUCCCCCUUCCUUACUACCCUGAUCUAGUGCUUUUCGCCAGCUAGUAACACUUCUCAGCACUAGUCUCUGGCAUUCAUAAUUGAUCUUCCCCUUUUCGUCUUUCGUUGUCGAAAUCUGCACUGCACCAAUUGGCAACGAUGUUCAUCUUCCUCUCUCGAAGUUAUUCCUUAUAACCAGAAUCAUUUGAGGAGGAUAACAUGCAGUAAAACUAAAUUGCAAGUGGAUAUAGAAACCAAGGAUCAAUCAGGAACUGCGAUUCAGAUUCAUCUGAAAGAAACAUUGCUAUUCUGGAGAGCGAUGUGUUUGCAACAAAAACUACAAAAGAUGCCUCUACACCAUGCAAGAAUGCACAGAGUGGUAGGAGAGAUCAGGGCAAGAAGAGAAAGGCAGUUUAUCCGGAUAAGCAAGGCCGACAAUUUUCACCUUGAAAUCAUCUACCCCGGACUCGCUCCCAAAAUAAGUCCCACCAUGGGAAGUAUGGGAAGUUAGAGGAACUAUUAGCAAUUAGAACUUAUAUUGCUAGCUCUAGUGUACCAAACAUUAGCUAUCUAACAAAAACUAAUUGCUCUACGUAUUGUAAAGGUCGAGCAUGACAAAAAGAUGUUGCAGGCUAGCGUUUUUGUUGAUAGAUUAUGAGUACUUGCUCUAUGAACAUCAAUAUGCAGUAAUCUUUUGAA
Gossypium arboreum is the source of this 1265-nucleotide long non-coding RNA. RefSeq lists it as uncharacterized. The transcript has 4 exons. The record is from RefSeq and is a predicted model, not a curated record. NCBI's taxonomy places the organism in Eukaryota, Viridiplantae, Streptophyta, Magnoliopsida, Malvales, Malvaceae.